GACAGAGGGUGCAAGCGUUGUUCGGAAUUAUUGGGCGUAAAGGGCGCGUAGGCGGCCUCGCAAGUCAGAUGUGAAAUCCCAGGGCUUAACCCUGGAACUGCAUCUGAUACUGCUUGGCUUGAAUCUCGGAGAGGGUGGUGGAAUUCCUGGUGUAGAGGUGAAAUUCGUAGAUAUCAGGAGGAACACCGGUGGCGAAGGCGACCACCUGGACGAUGAUUGACGCUGAGGCGCGAAAGCGUGGGAAGCAAACAGG
Molecule: ribosomal RNA, 253 nt
Filed under: uncultured bacterium
Lineage: Bacteria
Description: partial 16S ribosomal RNA
Rfam family: Bacterial small subunit ribosomal RNA
Source: RNAcentral